RNAcentral lists this ribosomal RNA (493 nucleotides) under uncultured bacterium. RNAcentral's name for it is "bacterial SSU rRNA". It matches the Rfam family "Bacterial small subunit ribosomal RNA", at positions 30 to 504 of the family's 1533-position model. The record is from RNAcentral.
CGAACGCUGGCGGCGUGCUUAAUACAUGCAAGUCGAACGAGAAAUCCCGGCUUCGGUUGGGAGAGUAAAGUGGCGAACGGGUGAGUAACACGUGGACAAUCUACCUUUGAGUCUGGGAUAAUCCUCCGAAAGGGGGUCUAAUACCGGAUGAGACCACAGAAGGGCAUCCUUCAGAGGUCAAAGGCGGGGCAACCUGCCGCUCGAUGAUGAGUCCGCGCUCCAUUAGCUUGUUGGCGGGGUAACGGCCCACCAAGGCUGCGAUGGAUAGCCGGCCUGAGAGGGCGAUCGGCCACACUGGGACUGAGAUACGGCCCAGACUCCUACGGGAGGCAGCAGUAGGGAAUAUUGCACAAUGGACGAAAGUCUGAUGCAGCAACGCCGCGUGGGUGAUGAAGCUCCUUGGAGUGUAAAACCCUGUCAGUGGGGAAGAAACGUGUUGGGAGUAACUGCCCUUCACCUGACGGUACCCACAGAGGAAGUCCCGGCUAACUCC